Molecule: ribosomal RNA, 325 nt
Filed under: uncultured eukaryote
Lineage: Eukaryota
Description: partial 18S ribosomal RNA
Rfam family: Eukaryotic small subunit ribosomal RNA
Source: RNAcentral
CCCUUAGAUGUUCUGGGCCGCACGCGCGCUACACUGAUGCAUUCAACGAGCCUAUCCUUGACCGACAGGUCCGGGUAAUCUUUGAAUCUGCAUCGUGACGGGGAUAGAUUAUUGCAAUUAUUAAUCUUCAACGAGGAAUGCAUAGUAGGCGCAAGUCAUCAGCUUGCGUCGAUUGCGUCCCUGCCCUUUGUACACACCGCCCGUCGCUCCUACCGAUUGGGUGUGCUGGUGAAAUGUUCGGAUCGGCCGUUUGUCGCGGUUUCCGCGGCUCGUGGCUGAGAAGUUCAUUAAACCCUCCCACCUAGAGGAAGGAGAAGUCGUAACA